CCACCUGAAUCCAUUCCGAACUCAGAAGUGAAACGAAAUAGCGUCGAUGGUAGUGUGGGGUUUCCCCAUGUGAGAGUAGAACAUCGCCAGGC
Molecule: ribosomal RNA, 92 nt
Filed under: Vibrio vulnificus
Lineage: Bacteria; Pseudomonadati; Pseudomonadota; Gammaproteobacteria; Vibrionales; Vibrionaceae
Source: RNAcentral